RNAcentral lists this transfer RNA (67 nucleotides) under Trachypithecus johnii (Nilgiri langur). RNAcentral's name for it is "tRNA-Lys". Lineage: Eukaryota; Metazoa; Chordata; Mammalia; Primates; Cercopithecidae. The record is from RNAcentral.
CAUUGUAUAGCUGCCAUAGCAUUAGCCUUUUAAGCUAAAGACUGGGAAAUAUUCUUCUCUACAGUGA